RNAcentral lists this ribosomal RNA (253 nucleotides) under uncultured bacterium. Its description in RNAcentral is "partial 16S ribosomal RNA". It matches the Rfam family "Bacterial small subunit ribosomal RNA", at positions 524 to 776 of the family's 1533-position model. The record is from RNAcentral.
UACGUAGGGUGCGAGCGUUAAUCGGAAUUACUGGGCGUAAAGCGUGCGCAGGCGGUUCGUUAAGUCAGAUGUGAAAGCCCCGGGCUCAACCUGGGAACUGCAUUUGAAACUGGCGGGCUUGAGUGUGGCAGAGGGGGGUGGAAUUCCGCGUGUAGCAGUGAAAUGCGUAGAUAUCUGGAGGAACACCGGUGGCGAAGGCGGCAUCCUGGACCGGCAUUGACGCUGAGGCGCGAAAGCCAGGGGAGCAAACGGG